Molecule: long non-coding RNA, 2044 nt
Organism: Chloebia gouldiae (Gouldian finch)
Lineage: Eukaryota; Metazoa; Chordata; Aves; Passeriformes; Passeridae
Source: Ensembl
UGGCAGAGCCUUGAACAGCCUCAUGUACCUGCCCAAAAGAUGUCUGUAAAUACAGAGCACUGUUCCUCAGCCUGGGGAAUAAAGCAGCAGAAACCUCAGCUCACCUCUGUGCCUGUUAGUUGGGUAUGUGGGUGUUUCUGUCAAUAAGCUACAGGAGAUCUAGACACUCAGCACCUUCCUCCAGGCCCCAAAUACUUAAUUUUUAAUGAAAGCAACUGGGAGCCUUUUUAUUUUGACAAUUCUCCUCAGCCCCUGUGCUGCUGCAGCAGCAGGAGGGAAGUAAGGGGUAGCAGUACACAUCAGGGCUAGCCCAGAUUAUCAAAGUGAGAUUCAGCUUCAGAAGAAACCCAGGCAGCAGAGACCUCUCUAGGAAAAAAGAAAUCUUGAUUUCUCAGCUGCUUUAGUGUCCCUGGCCAGAACUUCAGCUAACAGCAGUCUGCAGCCUGAACAGGAUCAUUUCAGAAGACUUUCAUCAGCUGUUUCUUCUCCACUUCCUUUCCAUACUCUGUAUUAUUCCUGCUGGGAUAUCUCCAGAACAGCAAGAUGGUUUCUUCCUUUCUAACCUGAGAGAUGCAGUGAGUAACUAUGCAUGCAGGCACUAAAAAGAAAAAUCACUGGGAUGAAUUAGGGACUUUAUUUCAUUAUUUAUUUGUGGGAGUGAGAAACUUACUGAAAAUGUAUUGCCCAUGGUAAUGAAACACAAUUACCUAUUCUUCUCCAUCUCAGAUGAGAACAAAGAAGCCUGGAAGUCUUUGGAAGGUGAAGGUGAAUUAAAAUCAGAUUCGAAGAAAAAGGAGAAAAAGAGCUUUGAAAGGAGUGGAGGCACUCCUGACCAGCGAGGUCUCUGCAGCCCAGGAUGGAACCUGACAGGUGAAGACCCCUGUCUAUCAACCCAGGGACUCCAAUGCCACAUGGAAGACUGGAAGAAAGACAUUUUGCAACAGCUGAUGUUAAACCAGGUGGAAUUGGUGAUUUUUGCUGAUUAGCUGCUUCCAUUCAAAAACUGGGAGAUCCUCAGCAAAGUGUGGCUGGAGGAAAACUGAAGGAGAGUCACCUCUGUACACAUGGCCUGAUCCUGAUACACUCCAGCUGUGAACCAGUCUUACCACAAUGAACCAGUAUAACCAUAGAAACUCCUUUAAUACAAUAGGAAACCCCAUUUAUUACAGCUAUAAUCUGCACCUGACUUGGUUCUGAUUUUGGCCUUCAUCUGAAACCUGCUAAGGAUAAGAAAUCCUGAUGGUUGAUUGAGAAACUCCUCUGAAACUCUCUGACUUUCAGGGCACAGCUUGGUUGAGUUCAUGUCCCUGUGACGAGCCUGGCACAGCAGCCUGGCUCCUCCACAAUAGUUGGCAUCCACUGCUGGGUGGAAUCUGCCAGGGAUUCCUGUCAAUGUAGGGACACACAAAGGAUUCUUCCUCCCUGAUCCAGCUCACUGUUCUCUCUCCCAGGGUGCAGCUGCUGCCCUCAGAGAGGAGGGCAAUUGAACAGACCAGGGUUUUUGACUGAGAAUCAGAAACACUGGUGUUCAGCUCCCUUCACAGCUCAGUUUCUUGAUGCUUCUGGAGUUACACCAGUAGAAAAGCUAACUUUAUUAUUUGUGUUUCUGUAACAGAUUUUUCUAUCAUGUUGCACAUAACAAAGUGUGUUUCAGAAUGCCACAAAACAUCUGAAAUGCCUGGCUAGCUCUUCAUAUCCUGGAAGCAUCACUGCACUUGCACAAAUUGAUUUGAAAAUGUGGGAUCCCAGGGCUCUCUCUCACAAAAGGCCUAUUAAGAGGUUAGUUUGGAGAAAUAGCCUGAAGAAUAUUUAGCAACAGGCUUGAAACAUCAGACACUUGCUGCUCCCACCACCUCAGACUAAGGAGCCCUGAAACUGCCUCAGGUCAGACCUUUAAAACAUUGAGCUAUGCCUCAUCUGUACAACAGGUAAUGACAGCUCUGUUUUGUAAAGUUAUUCUUUGGCUAAACUAACGGAAUGCUGAGAUGUCUGUACAAUUGUAAUUGCAAAUAAAUCUCAGUGGCUAUUUAAAAUUAGAAUUUAA